This 595-nucleotide ribosomal RNA is filed under the name Asteroidea sp. RCMBAR088. RNAcentral's name for it is "partial 16S ribosomal RNA". It matches the Rfam family "Bacterial large subunit ribosomal RNA", at positions 1816 to 2597 of the family's 2925-position model. RNAcentral also lists the same sequence under 1 other name. Lineage: Eukaryota; Metazoa; Echinodermata; Asteroidea. The record is from RNAcentral.
CGCCCCUAGAAAGGUAAAUACCAAAAAAUUAGGGGUACUGCCUGCCCAGUGACGUAGGGUUUAACGGCCGCGGUAUCUUGACCGUGCAAAGGUAGCAUAAUCACUUGCCUUUUAAAUGGAGGCUGGAAUGAAUGGCAAGACGGAAGUUUGACUGUCUCUUUCUUAAUAACCCUGAAUUUUAUAUUCUAGUGAAGAAGCUGGAAUAGUAUCGUGGGACGAGAAGACCCUGUUGAGCUUAAGCGAUCAGGAUAAGCAUAGUUUUUUUAUUUUUUACUAACUAAGACAGAUAAUUUGUUUUUAUAUAUUUAUUCAUUGUAAGAAAAAUGCUGUGUUUGUGUUGCUUUGGUUGGGGCAACCGCGGAGAAUAAGAAACCUCCGCUUAGAUAUAAUAGAAAAGUACAGUUUUUGUUAAGAAAAUUUCUGUAUAAAUGAUCCACCGCUAGGUGAUCAAAGGAAAAAGUUACCACAGGGAUAACAGCGUAAUUUUUUUGGAGAGUUCAUAUUGAUAAAAAAGUUUGCGACCUCGAUGUUGGAUCGAGACUUCCUGGGGGUGCAGCAGCUCCCGAGGGUUGGUCUGUUCGACCAUUAAAGUCUU